UCCUUAUCUAGAGUCAGGGGAGGAAAUUGGUCCUUAGAUCCUGCGGCAACCUCACUAUCAACAAGUUGAAAGGUGCCCAUUCCAACAAGCGAUAUGCUUGAAAGAUGAGGA
RNAcentral lists this non-coding RNA (111 nucleotides) under Lacicoccus alkaliphilus. RNAcentral's name for it is "Salinicoccus alkaliphilus SAM-I sequence". It matches the Rfam family "SAM riboswitch aptamer (S box leader)". Rfam says of the family: The SAM riboswitch is found upstream of a number of genes which code for proteins involved in methionine or cysteine biosynthesis in Gram-positive bacteria. The SAM riboswitch acts at the level of transcription termination control. The predicted structure consists of a complex stem-loop region followed by a single stem loop terminator region. RNAcentral also lists the same sequence under 1 other name. Lineage: Bacteria; Bacillati; Bacillota; Bacilli; Caryophanales; Salinicoccaceae. The record is from RNAcentral.